Molecule: RNA transcript, 1235 nt
Organism: Odobenus rosmarus divergens (Pacific walrus)
Lineage: Eukaryota; Metazoa; Chordata; Mammalia; Carnivora; Odobenidae
Gene name: elongation factor 1-alpha 1-like
Exons: 2
Source: RefSeq, a predicted model, not a curated record
GGGGUUUGCCGCCAGAACACAGGUGUCGUGAAAACCACCGCUCAACCUAAACCAAAAUGGGAAAGGAAAAGACUCACAUCAACAUCGUCGUCAUUGGACACGUAGAUUCGGGCAAGUCUACCACUGCUGGUCGUCUGAUCUACAAAUGUGGUGGGAUCGACAAAAGAACUACCGAAAAAUUUGAGAAGGAGGCUGCUGAGAUGGGAAAGGGCUCCUUCAAGUGUGCCUGGGUCUUGGAUAAACUGAAAGCUGAACGUGAACGUGGUAUCACCAUUGAUAUCUCCCCGUGGAAAUUCGAGACCAGCAAGUAUUACGUGACCAUCACUGAUGCCCCAGGACACAGAGACUUGAUCAAAAACAUGAUGACAGGCACAUCUGAGGCUGACGGUGCCGUCCUGAUUGUGGCUGCUGGUGUUGGUGAGUUUGAAGCCGGUGUCUCCAAGAACGGGCAGACCCGUGAGCGUGCCCUUCUGGCUUACACACUGGGUGUAAAACAACUAACUGUUGGUGUUAACAAGAUGGAUUCCACUGAGCCACCCUACAGCCAGAAGAGAUACGAGGAAAUCGUUAAGGAAGUCAGCACCUCCAUUAAGAAAAUUGGCUACAACCCCGACACUAGCAUUUGUGCCAAUUUCUGGUUGGAACGGUGACAACACGCUGGAGCCAAGUGCUAACAUGCCUCGGUUCAAGGGAUGGAAAGUCACCCGUAAAGAUGGGCAUGCCAGUGGAACCACACUGCUUGAAGCUCUGGAUGGCAUCCUGCCACCAACUCGUCCAGCUGACAAGCCCUUGCGUCUGCCUCUCCAGGACGUCUACAAAACUGGUGGUAUUGGUACUGUGCCUGUGGGCUGAGUCGAGACUGGUGUUCUUAAACCUGGCAUGGUGGUCACCUUUGCUCCAAUGUUACAACUGAAGUAAAGUCUGUUGGAAUGCACCAUGAAGCUUUGAGUGAGGCUCUUCCUGGGGACAGUGUGGGCUUCAAUGUCAAGAACGUAUCUGUCAAAGAUGUUCGUCGUGGCAAUGUGGCUGGUGACAGCAAAAAUGACCCACCCAUGGAAGCAGCUGGCUUCACGGCUCAGAUCUAUAAGAGAAGGGAAGAUGCAGGGCAAACCACUGCCCCCAAAACUGGAGAGACAGACCAAUACUGCAAGUCACAGCUUACUGGAGCAGAGACUCACCAGUGGAAAUUGUCACAGAAACCAGUGCUAGAGGAAGAAAGAAAACCCGACUCAUAA